Molecule: ribosomal RNA, 467 nt
Filed under: uncultured bacterium
Lineage: Bacteria
Description: partial 16S ribosomal RNA
Rfam family: Bacterial small subunit ribosomal RNA
Source: RNAcentral
GACGAACGCUGGCGGCGUGCUUAACACAUGCAAGUCGAACGGAAAGGCCCUGCUUUUGUGGGGUGCUCGAGUGGCGAACGGGUGAGUAACACGUGAGUAACCUGCCCUUGACUUUGGGAUAACUUCAGGAAACUGGGGCUAAUACCGGAUAGGAGCUCCUGCUGCAUGGUGGGGGUUGGAAAGUUUCGGCGGUUGGGGAUGGACUCGCGGCUUAUCAGCUUGUUGGUGGGGUAGUGGCUUACCAAGGCUUUGACGGGUAGCCGGCCUGAGGGGGUGACCGGCCACAUUGGACUGGGGUACCGGCCCGGCCCCCUCCGGGGGGCAGCGGUGGGAAUUAUUGCACAUGGGGCGGAGCCUUGUGGCACCACGCCGCGGUCCGGGUUGCGGCCUUCGGGUUUGAAACCCGUUUUGCCUUGUACGGAGCGUGGGUUGCGGUAAUUGGUAAAGGAGCACCCGCUAACUACGUG